Gigantopelta aegis is the source of this 405-nucleotide long non-coding RNA. RefSeq lists it as uncharacterized. Lineage: Eukaryota; Metazoa; Mollusca; Gastropoda; Neomphalida; Peltospiridae. The record is from RefSeq and is a predicted model, not a curated record. The transcript is spliced from 4 exons.
CCGCAACUGGCGUAUCAAGUGUGUCCCCUUUGAGGAGUUACAAAAUAGAAAUUGUCGCAAUAAAAUCGACCAGCCCAGGGUCAUCAUCAAGUCUGUACAUAAUUACAGGAGCAGUGAUUGUGGGCCUUUUCGGAGUUGUCGUGAUGUACCACCCCUUUCAGCAUUAGAUGGUCGUGGUCUGCUUUCUUCAGGUCACGAUCGACACGAAUGACAGACAGUACAGCACAUAGAGUGAACAACAGGGACUGAAUGAAUUUAUUGCUGGAGUACACGGUUCAAACAUACCGUAUAUCAUUCCCAGCAUGGGAAGAGAGGCAGUCUGCAUGAAAACAUUGUGAUAUAUGUUAAUGAUUGUACAAGUGUCACUUUACCACCUACCACAAAUUGAUAUUUUUCUUUGAAAUC